Oryctolagus cuniculus (rabbit) is the source of this 1593-nucleotide non-coding RNA. Lineage: Eukaryota; Metazoa; Chordata; Mammalia; Lagomorpha; Leporidae. The record is from RefSeq and is a predicted model, not a curated record.
GUUGCUUCAAAAGCUGUAUGACUUUACUAUUUUGGUAAGGACAAUGAACGUGGCCUGCGUCCUCUCUUAGUUUUUAUAUAUGCAAGUGUUGGAUAGCAUCUCUAGAGCUAUUUUCCUGCUAGACUGAAACUUUAUGUUUACAGAUUACUAACUCCCUGCUUCCAUCUCCACCAGGGUUUGGUCUUUAAUUCUAUGAAGCUGACUAUCUCAGAUACUUUAGAAAUGUGGAGUCAUGCAGCAUUUCUCUCUCUGUGAAUGGUGUGUUUCACUUAUCACAUGGUCCUCAAGGAAAUGGAUUCAUUUCACAAUGAUUGGAUCAUGAAAAUGGAGCCCUCAAGAAUGGGAUUGAUGCCUUUAUGGAACAGGAGACACAGGAAGUGCCAUCAUUUUUCCAUGUGAGAACACAGUGAAAAGCUGUGAAUCAGAAAGUGGACUUUCAUCAGACACGGAAUGUGUUGAUGCCUUUAGACUGGUCUUCCCAGCUUCUAAAAAUGUCCAUGUGGCAGCGAACUGAGGAUGAUGUCAAUCAACAAGAAGUAAAUACCUUAGACCAGCCAUCAAAAUCAAAUAAACUGCUGCCAACAUCAAUAUGAACUUAGAAGCCAAUUUUCCACUGGAGCGUGUGAUGAGAACCAAGUCCCAGACAACAUCUUGACUGAAGCUUUGUGAGAUCCUAAAGAACCAGCUAAGUUGUGUCCAGGCUCCUGACCCACAGAAAUGAUUCAAUAAUGUGUGCAUGUUUUUUUUUAGGUAAUUAAGUUUGUGGUAAAAUGACUAUACAAGAAUAAGUAAAUAUAUACUCCAUAUGUCAAAUUUGAGCAUUAUUUAAACUUUCUGGAUUCCUAAGAUUGAGAAAGAUUAUGCAGCCACGUUCAAGCUCAGCAAGAUAAAGUGCUAUUGGUGAUAUAUGGAAUGAGCUGCAAUGAGAAGAAGUAAUACAUUUGCCUUUUAUAAGUCAUUCUACCCUCUCACACUCUGUGAGACCAAAGUGAGCACGUGAAAUGAUGUCAUAUGUCAAUCUUUUAUUCAAGAUCAAUACAGUCAGAAAAUGUUGUUAAAUGCCCAAUCAGGAAAGGGGCAUGGUUUGAAACAGGCUACAUGUAAGUUUUUAUGCAUACAUUCUUUUUUUUUAACUUUUAUUUAAUGAAUAUAAAUUUCCAAAGUACAGCUUAUGGAUUACAAUGGGUUAUGCAUACAUUCUAUGAGGGGUUGUAACUGGAACAAAUUGUCCUAAUUUGAAAGUCUCAAAUUCCAGUCAAAAGGGCUCAGCUAUUUCUGGGCUGCAGAAAAUGGUGGCUUUGUAAACUAGUGGUCCAGUGCUCCAGGUUUAAAAAUUUAAAGUGAAACAAAAUACUUCAAUUUUUAUGUGAAAUUUCCCACUUUUGUGAGCUGGAAAUUAUGGCCCAACAGGUUAAGCCUCCACUUGCAAUGUGGUUUCAUGUCCAUUUCCUAUUCAGCUCUCACCUAACGCAACUGGGAAAGCAGCAGAAGAUGGCCCUAGAACUUGGACCCCUGCCACUCUCAUGUGAGCCCUCAGUGGAGUCCCAGGCUCCUGGAUUCAGCCUUAUCCAGUCCUGGCUGUUGCGAUCUGUU